AUUGAACGCUAGCGGUAUGCUUUACACCUGCAAGUCGAACGAGUGGCGGACGGGUGAGUAAUAUAUCGGAACGUGGCCAAUAGCGGGGGAUAACUACUCGAAACUGUGGCUAAUCCCGCAUACUAUUGGAUCGGCCUAUAUGGGAUUAGCUAUUUGGUGGGGUAAAGGCUCACCAAGCCAACGAUCCGUAGCUGGUUUGAGAGGAAGACCAGUCACACUGGGACUGAGAGACGGCCCAGACUCCUACGGGAGGCAGCAGUGGGGAAUUGUGGACAAUGGGGGCAACCCUGAUCCAGCCAUGCCGCGUGUAUGAGAAGGCCUUCGGGUUGUAAAGUACUUUUGGCAGAGAAGCGGUAACUACAGAAGAAGCACCGGCUAACUACGUGCCAGCAGCCGCGGUAAUAC
Molecule: ribosomal RNA, 405 nt
Filed under: uncultured bacterium
Lineage: Bacteria
Description: partial 16S ribosomal RNA
Rfam family: Bacterial small subunit ribosomal RNA
Source: RNAcentral